GCGGCGACGAUGAUCAUUUAAUGAACGGCGCUUGUAAUUCACGCGCGACCGCAGAGAGUGACGUCCGAAGUUUUAGGAGCAGCCGCCGAUGCCAAGCUGGAGGCGGCAGCAGCGGCGGCUUGUCAUUGGCUUUUGAUGAUGAUGCAGGUAAGGCCACGUCAUCAUCUCGGAUCAUUCAUCAGUUUCGUGGACAAGACAGCCUGGCAGCGCAGUCUCCACGUGGACGACACAUGGCGUCUUCGGCACCUGUGAAUGUUCCUGAUUGGUCAAAGAUAUAUCGAGUUGACUCAGUUGAGUCAUUUCAUGACUCGGACGACGGUGCUGAUGAUCAUGAGUUGGAUAUGAUUCCCCCACAUGAGUAUUUGGCUCGUGGAUAUGGUAGAUCUCGAAAAUCAACAACUGAUUCGAUGUUUGAAGGUGUGGGAAGGACAUUAAAGGGUAGGGACAUGAGUCGAGUUCGAGAUG
Molecule: unclassified non-coding RNA, 465 nt
Filed under: Hevea brasiliensis (rubber tree)
Lineage: Eukaryota; Viridiplantae; Streptophyta; Magnoliopsida; Malpighiales; Euphorbiaceae
Source: RNAcentral